UCGAACGAGAAAGUGGAGCAAUCCAUGAGUAAAGUGGCGACCGGGUGAGUAACACGUGACUAACCUACCCUGAAGUGGGGAAUAACCUCGGGAAACCGGGGCUAAUACCGCAUAACAUCGCGAGCUGUAAACGCUUGUGAUCAAAGGAGCAAUUCGCUUUAGGAGGGGGUCGCGGCUGAUUAGCUAGUUGGUGAGGUAACGGCUCACCAAGGCAAAGAUCAGUAUCCGGCCUGAGAGGGCGCACGGACACACUGGAACUGAAACACGGUCCAGACUCCUACGGGAGGCAGCAGUGGGGAAUUUUGCGCAAUGGGGGAAACCCUGACGCAGCAACGCCGCGUGGAGGAUGAAGUCCCUUGGGAUGUAAACUCCUUUCGAUCGGGACGAUUAUGACGGUACCGGAAGAAGAAGCACCGGCUAACUCUGUGCCAGCAGCCGCGGUAAUACAGAGGGUGCAAGCGUUGUUCGGAAUUAUUGGGCGUAAAGGGCGCGUAGGCGGUGCUGUAAGUCUGUGGUGAAAUCUCUGGGCUCAACUCAGAGUCUGCCAUAGAAACUGCAGUGCUGGAGUGUGGGAGAGGUGAGUGGAAUUCCCGGUGUAGCGGUGAGAUGCGUAGAUAUCGGGAGGAACACCUGUGGCGAAAGCGGCUCACUGGACCACAACUGACGCUGAGGCGCGAAAGCUAGGGGAGCAAACAGGAUUAGAUACCCUGGUAGUCCUAGCCCUAAACGAUGAUUGCUUGGUGUGUCGGGUACCCA
RNAcentral lists this ribosomal RNA (756 nucleotides) under uncultured bacterium. Its description in RNAcentral is "bacterial SSU rRNA". It matches the Rfam family "Bacterial small subunit ribosomal RNA", at positions 62 to 835 of the family's 1533-position model. The record is from RNAcentral.